Molecule: long non-coding RNA, 2571 nt
Organism: Electrophorus electricus (electric eel)
Lineage: Eukaryota; Metazoa; Chordata; Actinopteri; Gymnotiformes; Gymnotidae
Source: Ensembl
GUUCAUCUAUCGUUAGAGACUAAUGAAUUUUGGAGGAACGUUGUAGGCUACUCAACAUUGUUUUAGUUCUGUUAAGUCAACCUCGCCAGCGAACACGGAGAGGAUUCAAAGUUGAGACAUUCCUUAUGCGAAAAGAAUCUAAUUUCGAGUGAAGAUUGUCCAGCUCCUCUUGGUGGGCCGAACGGCUUGGGCAUGUGGCUGCUCUAUGUGCUGGCUGCAUUCUCCUAUGCCUCCGUAUUCGCCUCCGGCUGCUCUUUCCUGCUGGACUUCCUGGGCGUCGGGUUCACCCACUCCAGAGUGGUAGCUUCCUUCCACGUCUCCACAGUGGUGCUGUGUCUGAUUGUCUUGGGCGUGGCUGGCACCUGUCUCUAUGUCAUUGAGCACAACGUGCAGAAUGGGAGGUGGGGCUCACUCUGGGACCACCCCUCGACUCCGCCUUAUGGACUACAGACUUAUCCUGGAGAGAGCAUGAUCAUCGAGAUGCUGGCCAUCCUCUUCUCCUUGGGGGCUGCUGCCUUCAGCUUGAGAUGCCCUCCAGAACCCACCACUCCCAGCCGCUACCUCUCUGUGGAGUCUGAGGACGGGGAAACAGAACCCCUUAUUGGAGGACUGGGAGAGCAGUCAGCAGAGACGUUUCCUACUGAACAGUCUUAGCAUUACUUAUUACAAUUUUGACACAAAUGCCUUUUUAAAAUGCUAACCACAGGAAAAAAAAAUACAUAGUUACUUUUCACUUGACACUUUAUUGAAUAAGUAUGUAUUUAUGUGAUUGAUUGUUUUUUCUACAGACAGGCCUUUCUAAACACCUUACAAUCUCUGGAGUGUUUAUACAUGUUUAAGGUGUUUAUACAUCUUAAAAGCUCCAGGCCUUCCUGUUGCGCUAGCCUUGUAGCUGGAUACACUAUGGAGCCAGGAACCAAAGAAAUGACCAAACCACAACAGCAUUUUAUGUAGUAAUUUCUCAGGCACAGUUACUGAGCUGCUACCUAAUAUUCAAUGGUACUUAGUAGGUUUUCCUAAAGGGAUUAGCUCAUGGACCUAAUACCGAAAAACCUGAAACUGUUUAGAGACCAAACUGAACGUUACCAUAUUCUGUAUGAAGGCAACAGGAAGCUCCAUGUGCCUUAGGAUCUGUUGCAUAUUGGUCAUAAACAUAUAUGUAAAACGCAUGGUGCACCUGGCUUGUAACUCACUCACACAUAUUUAGCAUUCUGAAUAUUUUCCAAAAGGGGGCGCUAUAUCCUUGUCUUAUGAUGCUGUUUUAUGUUUGCUGACAAGAGAUUUUAUUGGCUGGCAACGAGGAUUGUGUGUGGGUAUCCUCAAAUUGAUCAUUUGUCUUCUUACACCAGAAUGAUUGAUGUCACACUGCCACGUUAAAGAUAUUGAGGAAAGUGGUUCCUCUGCUUGAUAUUAAGUUUAAGUCUAGACUGAAUAUCCCCACUGGUAUUGCAGUAUAGUCCAAGACUAGACUUAAUCCAUUUCUGGGAAACCAGCCUGAGGAAAACAAUCUACAAUAUUAAUGAGUCAUAUCAUAUCUUUAUUUUAAACAUAACCGCUACAGGAGUUCAGUUAAAUUUUUAUCAGCACAAAGAAGGAUCAGUAAGUAGACUUUUUAUUAGAAUGUCAUUAAACAUUAAGGAAAAGCUGAAUUUCUCGGCAGUAAUGGGUAGUAACUCUGACCUGAUGACGGGGAGGCUUGUGCCAGCACUAAGCUCGAGGCAAGCACAUUUAUCUUACUACAUGGAACACACUUCCUGUUCCUGUGUUAUCACCAGUCAGCUGACUAGUACCGUACCUAUGUGGUGACAGUCUGUGAUUUUUGCUCCUUUAAAAUGUGCUGCAAUAAUGUCUGCAUACCUAAUCGAAACCCCAAACAUUGUGAAUUUGAAUGUUCCUUGUGGUUUGUCUUUGUGGCAUGUUAUUCUUUUGUUGUGUUACGGUAAUUUUUCAUUUUGUUGAACUGUGAGCUCGACUUAUUACCUCACCAUUUUAAUGUUAUCUCAUCACACAGUCAAUGACUGUUAACUAUGGCUAAAUACUCAUGUAAACUCAUUUAAACCUUUUAUGCCUUUCCUAUCCCCAGACAGGUUUUCACUUUGGAAGUGUUAAAAGGCUUCAGUUGAAUGUAUUAUUGUUUAUUUGGCUUUAUUGAGGAAUGAUUGCAUUGUAUACAUGGCAUUGUCUGCAGUACCCUGAGAUCAGGAUCAUGCAAAGCAAAGUCAAUGUUAAUGACAUUAUCGGUUGUGUUGUGGGUGAAUGAUUGGAUGAGGUAUUCCCCAUGACUCAUCCAAUCACCGUGACACACUCAGGAGGACAGGAGCUUUCAUCCAGCAUACAUCCCAGCUCUGCUGCCUGUGGUCACUGGGAUUGGGGCUCCAAGAUGACUUACACCUGUCAGGGACACUUCUGUUAGUUCUGGGUUGAGUGAAAACAUCCAUAAAUAAUUUUGGUUUGUUUUCUGAAUAACUUGUAAAUAUUAUGUUUCACCAGGAGGGGGCAUAAACAUGUAACCAGAUUGAUGUUAUGUGCCUUAAUGUAAUUAAAUGUAAUGUGUUUUUAAUAGGAAUCAUU